UAAAUUAAAUCAUUAAUAGUGUAAGUGCUUACAAUUGAAAUCUCCAUUAUAACAGUUAUGCCCAGAGUGCCUUGUCUAUGGUAAUCAUUGUGAUUGUUUACUGGUACAUGUAUGGUCUCAGACGAAUCCUCAUGAUUUAUGCAUUGAAGUUCCACAGUCAUUAAUCAUGUAGUCUAAGUAUUAUUUGCUACAUGGUAUUAUAAUGUUUAGUAAAGCUGCAUAAUGCAUGUUGUAAUGUUACUAUAGGUUCAUAACACGAAGUUAUUCCCUUUUUAAAAAUACAUGUAUCCAUUGCCUCAUUUUUGUGUUCCUUAAUUGACACCUAUUUUGUAUAUCUUGUCUCUUGAUGUCUCUUUCUCUCUUUUGCUUUUCUCUCCUCCUCAUGUAUAUGUAUACUGUAUGUCUAACUCUUGCUCUUUCUUUUUUCUUCUCUAGGUAUACCUCUCAGUCUCACAUGUCUUCACUCUUUCUCGCGUUAGCGCAAACAUAACUGCAUUGUCUGUUGAGGUCCCAUCAAAUGUACUUGCUGAAAUAUCUGGCAAAUAUUGUGGAAACAGAAACACAUGCUAACAAACGUUGUGGAGAAUGGAAAGACAAAUACUUGCCAAUUAAUGAUAA
Amphimedon queenslandica is the source of this 618-nucleotide long non-coding RNA. RefSeq lists it as uncharacterized. The record is from RefSeq and is a predicted model, not a curated record. The transcript has 3 exons. NCBI's taxonomy places the organism in Eukaryota, Metazoa, Porifera, Demospongiae, Haplosclerida, Niphatidae.